This 274-nucleotide ribosomal RNA is filed under the name uncultured bacterium. RNAcentral's name for it is "partial 16S ribosomal RNA". It matches the Rfam family "Archaeal small subunit ribosomal RNA", at positions 473 to 747 of the family's 1478-position model. The record is from RNAcentral.
AAACCAGCACCUCAAGUGGUCAGGAUGAUUAUUGGGCCUAAAGCAUCCGUAGCCGGCUCUGUAAGUUUUCGGUUAAAUCUGUACGCUUAACGUACAGGCCGCCGGGAAUACUGCAAAGCUAGGGAGUGGGAGAGGUAGACGGUACUCGGGAGGAAGUGGUAAAAUGCUUUGAUCUCUCGAUGACCACCUGUGGCGAAGGCGGUCUACCAGAACACGUCCGACGGUGAGGGAUGAAAGCUGGGGGAGCAAACCGGAUUAGAAACCCGAGUAGUCC